This 407-nucleotide ribosomal RNA is filed under the name uncultured bacterium. RNAcentral describes it as "bacterial SSU rRNA". It matches the Rfam family "Bacterial small subunit ribosomal RNA", at positions 29 to 483 of the family's 1533-position model. The record is from RNAcentral.
AACGAACGCUGGCGGCAGGCCUAACACGUGCAAGACGAGCGCACCCUUCGGGGCGAGCGGCGGACGGGUUAGUAACGCGUGGGAACGUGCCCAGAUCUGCGGAAUAGCCACUGGAAACGGUGAGUAAUACCGCAUACGCCCUUCGGGGAAAGAUUUAUCGGAUUUGGAUCGGCCCGCGUUAGAUUAGAUAGUUGGUGGGGUAACGGCCUACCAAGUCUACGAUCUAUAGCUGGUUUUAGAGGAUGAUCAGCAACACUGGGACUGAGACACGGCCCAGACUCCUACGGGAGGCAGCAGUGGGGAAUCUUAGACAAUGGGCGCAAGCCUGAUCUAGCCAUGCCGCGUGAGUGAUGAAGGCCUUAGGGUCUAAAGCUCUUUCGCCAGGGAUGAUAAUGACAGUACCUGGU